RNAcentral lists this ribosomal RNA (904 nucleotides) under Masenia nkomatiensis. Its description in RNAcentral is "SSU rRNA". It matches the Rfam family "Eukaryotic small subunit ribosomal RNA", at positions 957 to 1808 of the family's 1831-position model. Lineage: Eukaryota; Metazoa; Platyhelminthes; Trematoda; Plagiorchiida; Cephalogonimidae. The record is from RNAcentral.
GCCAAGGAUGUUUUCAUUGAUCUGGAGCGAAAGUCAGAGGUUCGAAGACGAUCAGAUACCGUCCUAGUUCUGACCAUAAACGAUGCCAACUGACGAUCCGUGGGUGUUUUAAUGACCCCACGGGCAGUCCCCGGGAAACCUUUAAGUCUUUGGGCUCCGGGGGAAGUAUGGUUGCAAAGCUGAAACUUAAAGGAAUUGACGGAAGGGCACCACCAGGAGUGGAGCCUGCGGCUUAAUUCGACUCAACACGGGAAAACUCACCCGGCCCGGACACUGUGAGGAUUGACAGAUUGAUAGCUCUUUCUUGAUUCGGUGGUUGGUGGUGCAUGGCCGUUCUUAGUUGGUGGAGCGAUUUGUCUGGUUAAUUCCGAUAACGAACGAGACUUUGGCCUGCUAAAUAGUAUACCUGUCCUCUGUGCUGGUUUAGGUGGCGGUUUUCACUGCCCGGUUUCGGGUGUGUGUGGCUGUUAUCCGGCUAGUACUGCGCAGGUGUUUACUUCUUAGAGGGACAAGCGGCGCGACAGUCGCACGAAAAUGAGCAAUAACAGGUCUGUGAUGCCCUUAGAUGUCCGGGGCCGCACGUGCGCUACAAUGACGGUUUCAGCGAGUUUUAAAACCUGGCCCGAAAGGGUUGGGCAAACUGAAUCAUAACCGUCGUGACUGGGAUCGGGGCUUGCAAUUUUUCCCCGUGAACGAGGAAUUCCUGGUAAGUGCAAGUCAUAAGCUUGCGCUGAUUACGUCCCUGCCCUUUGUACACACCGCCCGUCGCUACUACCGAUUGAAUGGUUUAGCAAGGUCAUCGGAUUGGUGCUAUUGUAGUUGUUUCGGCAACUCGACCGGUGCUGAGAAGACGACCAAACUUGAUCAUUUAGAGGAAGUAAAAGUCGUAACAAGGUUUCCGUAG